Molecule: ribosomal RNA, 200 nt
Filed under: uncultured bacterium
Lineage: Bacteria
Description: partial 16S ribosomal RNA
Rfam family: Bacterial small subunit ribosomal RNA
Source: RNAcentral
AGCGAACGCUGGCGGCAGGCCUAACACAUGCAAGUCGAACGCACCUUCGGGUGAGUGGCGGACGGGUGAGUAACACGUGGGAACGUACCUUUUGGUUCGGAAUAACGCAGGGAAACUUGUGCUAAUACCGAAUGUGCCCUUCGGGGGAAAGGAUUUAUCGCCAUUAGAGCGGCCCGCGUUAGAUUAGCUAGUUGGUGAGG